This 252-nucleotide ribosomal RNA is filed under the name uncultured bacterium. Its description in RNAcentral is "partial 16S ribosomal RNA". It matches the Rfam family "Bacterial small subunit ribosomal RNA", at positions 524 to 776 of the family's 1533-position model. The record is from RNAcentral.
UACAGAGGUCUCAAGCGUUGUUCGGAUUCAUUGGGCGUAAAGGGUGCGUAGGUGGCGCCGUAAGUCAGGUGUGAAAUUUCGGAGCUUAACUCCGAACUGCAUUUGAUACUGCGGUGCUUGAGGACUGGAGAGGAGACUGGAAUUUACGGUGUAGCAGUGAAAUGCGUAGAGAUCGUAAGGAAGACCAGUGGCGAAGGCGGGUCUCUGGACAGUUCCUGACACUGAGGCACGAAGGCCAGGGGAGCAAACGGG